UACAGAGGGUGCGAGCGUUAAUCGGAAUUACUGGGCGUAAAGGGCGCGUAGGCGGCAUAUUAAGUUAGAUGUGAAAUCCCUGGGCUUAACCUAGGACUUGCAUUUAAGACUGAUAAGCUAGAGUAAUGUAGAGGGAAGUGGAAUUUCCGGUGUAGCGGUGAAAUGCGUAGAUAUCGGAAAGAACAUCAGUGGCGAAGGCGGCUUCCUGGACAUAUACUGACGCUGAGGCGCGAAAGCAUGGGUAGCAAACAGG
Molecule: ribosomal RNA, 253 nt
Filed under: uncultured bacterium
Lineage: Bacteria
Description: partial 16S ribosomal RNA
Rfam family: Bacterial small subunit ribosomal RNA
Source: RNAcentral